Molecule: ribosomal RNA, 253 nt
Filed under: uncultured bacterium
Lineage: Bacteria
Description: partial 16S ribosomal RNA
Rfam family: Bacterial small subunit ribosomal RNA
Source: RNAcentral
UACGGAGGGUGCAAGCGUUAUCCGGAUUCACUGGGUUUAAAGGGUGCGUAGGUGGGCAGGUAAGUCAGUGGUGAAAUCUCCGGGCUUAACCCGGAAACUGCCAUUGAUACUAUUUGUCUUGAAUACUGUGGAGGUCAGCGGAAUAUGUCAUGUAGCGGUGAAAUGCUUAGAUAUGACAUAGAACACCAAUUGCGAAGGCAGCUGGCUACACAAAUAUUGACACUGAGGCACGAAAGCGUGGGGAGCAAACAGG